This 402-nucleotide ribosomal RNA is filed under the name uncultured bacterium. RNAcentral's name for it is "bacterial SSU rRNA". It matches the Rfam family "Bacterial small subunit ribosomal RNA", at positions 355 to 774 of the family's 1533-position model. The record is from RNAcentral.
UGGGGAAUAUUGGACAAUGGGCGCAAGCCUGAUCCAGCCAUGCCGCGUGAGUGAUGAAGGCCUUAGGGUUGUAAAGCUCUUUCGCCGGUGAAGAUAAUGACGGUAACCGGAGCAGAAGCCCCGGCUAACUUCGUGCCAGCAGCCGCGGUAAUACGAAGGGUGCAAGCGUUAAUCGGAAUUACUGGGCGUAAAGCGUGCGCAGGCGGUUCGGAAAGAAAGAUGUGAAAUCCCAGGGCUCAACCUUGGAACUGCAUUUUUAACUCCCGACCGAGAGUGUGUCAGAGGACGGUGUAAUUCCACGUGUGGCAGUGAAAUGCGUAGAUAUGUGGAGGAACACCGAUGGCGAAGGCAGCCCCCUGGGAUAACACUGACGCUCAUGCACGAAAGCGUGGGGAGCAAACA